RNAcentral lists this ribosomal RNA (119 nucleotides) under Lepisosteus oculatus (spotted gar). The record is from RNAcentral. Lineage: Eukaryota; Metazoa; Chordata; Actinopteri; Semionotiformes; Lepisosteidae.
GCCAGCAGCCAUAUCACUCUGCAACUCACAACUGGCAACCCACUGAAACUAAGCAGGUGUGAGCCUGCUUAGUACCUGGAAGGGAGACCUCCUGGAAAAAACUAAGGUUGCUGCUGGAA